RNAcentral lists this unclassified non-coding RNA (375 nucleotides) under soil metagenome. Its description in RNAcentral is "partial contains 5.8S ribosomal RNA, internal transcribed spacer 2, and large subunit ribosomal RNA". The stretch from base 1 to 120 matches the Rfam family "5.8S ribosomal RNA", at positions 35 to 154 of the family's 154-position model. The record is from RNAcentral.
GAUGAAGAACGUAGCGAAAUGCGAUAAGUAAUGUGAAUUGCAGAAUUCAGUGAAUCAUCGAAUCUUUGAACGCAUCUUGCGCUCCUUGGUAUUCUGAGGAGCAUGCCUGUUUGAGUGUCAUUAAAUUCUCAACUACACUGACUUUGAAUUGGUGUGGCUUGGAUUUGGGGGGAAAUUGUUGUGGGCUUUUUGUAUAGUCUGCUCCCCUGAAAUUGAUUAGCGGUACCUUUGUGGAACUGUCUACAGGUGUGAUAAUUAUCUACAUCUUAGACAUCUGCUGGAAUGCUGCUUUCUAAACCUUACUUGUAUUGACAAUCUUGACCUCAAAUCAGGUAGGACUACCCGCUGAACUUAAGCAUAUCAAUAAGCGGAGGA